AAAAGCCAUAACACCCCAACCGGAGAGUCACUUAAUCUUUCUUAGCUGUUGGUUGAUCUCCUUCCUUCUAUGCCUGCUAUGGGGAGUGAACUUGACCUAUUUCAUUAUCACAAGCACGUCCUCAACCUGAGAGCUAGUCUUAUGUAUGCAUCUCGAGCCUGCCCUCACGAAGGUAUGCUCAUUGAACAGCUGAGUGAAAUGUAUCAAAAUAUUAAACAGCUGAGUGAAAUGGAUUAGAUUAUCGAACAGCUGAGUGAUAUUGAUCAGAUUAGGUAUAGGGAUGUAGGUGGUUGCCUACUCUGCAUGCCAUAUUAUUAUGUAUAGUGAAAUACCGAUUCUUGCCCUAAAAAAGCGCCGGGGAGGGCAGAGCGUUUCUC
This 377-nucleotide long non-coding RNA is filed under the name Oryza brachyantha (malo sina). RNAcentral describes it as "long non-coding RNA (OBRA_LNC003540)". The record is from RNAcentral. Lineage: Eukaryota; Viridiplantae; Streptophyta; Magnoliopsida; Poales; Poaceae.